Molecule: ribosomal RNA, 500 nt
Filed under: uncultured bacterium
Lineage: Bacteria
Description: partial 16S ribosomal RNA
Rfam family: Bacterial small subunit ribosomal RNA
Source: RNAcentral
AUUGAACGCUGGCGGCAUGCCUUACACAUGCAAGUCGAACGGCAGCACGGGAGCAAUCCUGGUGGCGAGUGGCGAACGGGUGAGUAAAGUAUCGGAACGUGCCCAGUCGGGGGGGAUAACGUAGCGAAAGUUACGCUAAUACCGCAUACGAUCUAUGGAUGAAAGCGGGGGAUCGCAAGACCUCGCGCGACUGGAGCGGCCGAUAUCAGAUUAGGUAGUUGGUGGGGUAAAGGCUCACCAAGCCGACGAUCUGUAGCUGGUCUGAGAGGACGACCAGCCACACUGGGACUGAGACACGGCCCAGACUCCUACGGGAGGCAGCAGUGGGGAAUUUUGGACAAUGGGCGCAAGCCUGAUCCAGCCAUGCCGCGUGCAGGAUGAAGGCCUUCGGGUUGUAAACUGCUUUUGUACGGAACGAAAAGGUUUGACUUAAUACGUUGGACUCAUGACGGUACCGUAAGAAUAAGCACCGGCUAACUACGUGCCAGCCGCCGCAGUAA